GGUUUGCGUGAGGGAUAGCAAUGGAAAUCCUUUUUGUUUUGCAGGAACACGCCUCAACGAUUCGCUCGGACUUGGUCAGGCAAAACAAAAAGAUUGCAAUGAAUAGCCCGGCCCUUG
This 117-nucleotide small RNA is filed under the name Kaistella antarctica. Its description in RNAcentral is "Chryseobacterium antarcticum Flavo-1 RNA". It matches the Rfam family "Flavo-1 RNA". The record is from RNAcentral. Lineage: Bacteria; Pseudomonadati; Bacteroidota; Flavobacteriia; Flavobacteriales; Weeksellaceae.